GAGUUUGAUCGUGGCUCAGGAUGAACGCUGGCGGCGUGCCUAAUACAUGCAAGUCGAGCGAACGGACGAGAAGCUUGCUUCUCUGAUGUUAGCGGCGGACGGGUGAGUAACACGUGGAUAACCUACCUAUAAGACUGGGAUAACUUCGGGAAACCGGAGCUAAUACCGGAUAAUAUUUUGAACCGCAUGGUUCAAGAGUGAAAGACGGUCUUGCUGUCACUUAUAGAUUGGAUCCGCGCUGCAUUAGCUAGUUGGUAAGGUAACGGC
RNAcentral lists this ribosomal RNA (267 nucleotides) under uncultured microorganism. RNAcentral's name for it is "partial 16S ribosomal RNA". It matches the Rfam family "Bacterial small subunit ribosomal RNA", at positions 9 to 264 of the family's 1533-position model. The record is from RNAcentral.